UAACGAUGACAUCUAGAUGACGAGUCUGAAAAUUUGGCAGUGAUGUUUAUUGCUGUCAAAAAUAUGUCGAGACUCAUUUUAUUUUCCAUUCAUGCAAUUCUGAAU
Molecule: small nucleolar RNA, 105 nt
Filed under: Zancudomyces culisetae
Lineage: Eukaryota; Fungi; Kickxellomycota; Harpellomycetes; Harpellales; Legeriomycetaceae
Source: RNAcentral